This 460-nucleotide ribosomal RNA is filed under the name uncultured bacterium. RNAcentral describes it as "partial 16S ribosomal RNA". It matches the Rfam family "Bacterial small subunit ribosomal RNA", at positions 338 to 795 of the family's 1533-position model. The record is from RNAcentral.
CCUACGGGGUGCAGCAGUGAGGAAUAUUGGUCAAUGGUCGGGAGACUGAACCAGCCAAGCCGCGUGAGGGAUGAAGGUCCAGAGUAUCGUAAACCUCUUUUGUCAGGGAACAAAGUCGGGGACGCGUCCCCGGAUGAGUGUACCUGAUGAAAAAGCAUCGGCUAACUCCGUGCCAGCAGCCGCGGUAAUACGGAGGAUGCGAGCGUUAUCCGGAUUUAUUGGGUUUAAAGGGUGCGGAGGGGGUCUGUUAAGUCAGCCGUGAAAAGCCGGGGCUCAACCCCGGCCCGGCGGUUGAAACUGGCAGUCUCGAGUGGGAGGGAGGUAUGCGGAAUGCGCGGUGUAGCGGUGAAAUGCAUAGAUAUCGCGAAGAACUCCGAUUGCGAAGGCAGCAUGCGGGAUCCACACUGACGCUGAGGCACGAAGGCGUGGGUAUCGAACAGGAUUAGAUACCCCUGUAGUC